CCUCUCAAGCUCGGCUUGUUGUUGGACAUCAGGUCCGGGUUUACCCCCGACCGGUCCCAAAAGUAAUGACGGCGUCCGUGGGACUCUCGGUGCAACGAGCUUUUUAAGCACGCACAGGAGUUGAAAGGUCCCCCGGCACGGUCUACAACCAUUUUUCUAAGGUUGACCUCGGAUCAGGUAGGAAUACCCGCUGAACUUAA
This 200-nucleotide unclassified non-coding RNA is filed under the name soil metagenome. Its description in RNAcentral is "partial contains internal transcribed spacer 2 and large subunit ribosomal RNA". The record is from RNAcentral.